ACAUGCAAGUCGAACGGUCCAGCACUCAGAAUUUAUCUUAGUGCUGGGUAGUGGCGGACGGGUGAGUAACGCGUGGGUAACCUGCCUCAUACAGGGGGAUAACACUUAGGAAAUAGGUGCCUAAUACCGCAUAAGCGCACAGAGUCGCAUGACUCAGUGUGAAAAACUCCGGUGGUAUGAGAUGGACCCGCGUCUGAUUAGCUAGUUGGUGAGGUAAACGGCCCACCAAGGCGACGAUCAGUAGCCGGCCUGAGAGGGUGAACGGCCACAUUGGGACUGAGACACGGCCCAAACUCCUACGGGAGGCAGCAGUGGGGAAUAUUGCACAAUGGGGGAAACCCUGAUGCAGCGACGCCGCGUGAGUGAAGAAGUAUUUCGGUAUGUAAAGCUCUAUCAGCAGGGAAGAAAAAAUGACGGUACCUGACUAAGAAGCCCCGGCUAACUACGUG
This 449-nucleotide ribosomal RNA is filed under the name uncultured bacterium. RNAcentral describes it as "bacterial SSU rRNA". It matches the Rfam family "Bacterial small subunit ribosomal RNA", at positions 53 to 507 of the family's 1533-position model. The record is from RNAcentral.